Molecule: ribosomal RNA, 433 nt
Filed under: uncultured bacterium
Lineage: Bacteria
Description: partial 16S ribosomal RNA
Rfam family: Bacterial small subunit ribosomal RNA
Source: RNAcentral
AACGAACGCUGGCGGCAUGCCUAACACAUGCAAGUCGAACGAGACCUUCGGGUCUAGUGGCGCACGGGUGCGUAACGCGUGGGAACCUGCCCUUAGGUUCGGAAUAACUCCCCGAAAGGGGUGCUAAUACCGGAUAAUGUCUUCGGACCAAAGAUUUAUCGCCUUUGGAUGGGCCCGCGUUGGAUUAGCUAGUUGGUAGGGUAAAAGCCUACCAAGGCGACGAUCCAUAGCUGGUCUGAGAGGAUGAUCAGCCACACUGGGACUGAGACACGGCCCAGACUCCUACGGGAGGAAGCAGUGGGGAAUAUUGGAAAAUGGGCGAAAGCCUGAACAAGCAAUGCCGCGUGAGUGAUGAAGGCCUUAGGGUUGUAAAGCUCUUUUACCCGGGAUGAUAAUGACAGUACCGGGAGAAUAAGCUCCGGCUAACUCCGUG